Actinomyces denticolens is the source of this 43-nucleotide non-coding RNA. Lineage: Bacteria; Bacillati; Actinomycetota; Actinomycetes; Actinomycetales; Actinomycetaceae. The record is from Rfam.
ACGGCCUCCGGUUCACCUCCGCGCCCGCGGGGGACCCGGAACC